AUUGAACGCUGGCGGAAUGCUUUACACAUGCAAGUCGAACGGCAGCACGGACUUCGGUCUGGUGGCGAGUGGCGAACGGGUGAGUAAUGUAUCGGAACGUGCCCAGUCGUGGGGGAUAACGUAGUGAAAAUUACGCUAAUACCGCAUACGAUCUAUGGAUGAAAGCGGGGGAUCGCAAGACCUCGCGCGAUUGGAGCGGCCGAUAUCAGAUUAGGUAGUUGGUAGGGUAAAGGCCUACCAAGCCAACGAUCUGUAGCUGGUCUGAGAGGACGACCAGCCACACUGGAACUGAGGCACGGUCCAGACUCCUACGGGAGGCAGCAGUGGGGAAUUUUGGGCAAUGGGCGAAAGCCUGAUCCAGCCAUUCCGCGUGCAGGAUGAAGGCCCUCGGGUUGUAAACUGCUUUUGUACAGAACGAAAAGGUUUCUACUAAUACUAGGAGCUCAUGACGGUACUGUAAGAAUAAGCACCGGCUAACUACGUGCCAGCCGCCGCGGUAA
Molecule: ribosomal RNA, 500 nt
Filed under: uncultured bacterium
Lineage: Bacteria
Description: partial 16S ribosomal RNA
Rfam family: Bacterial small subunit ribosomal RNA
Source: RNAcentral